Long non-coding RNA from Helianthus annuus (common sunflower), 742 nucleotides. RefSeq lists it as uncharacterized. The record is from RefSeq and is a predicted model, not a curated record. NCBI's taxonomy places the organism in Eukaryota, Viridiplantae, Streptophyta, Magnoliopsida, Asterales, Asteraceae. The transcript is spliced from 3 exons.
CAAAAGUUGAACUUCAAAUCCCUUCUAACUAACUGACCGAUAUGUAAGGAUGCAUUAUUUGUUCACUGUUAGUUAUAAACUUGUCGAAACAAUAGAAACCACUUUGAAAUUACUCCAUUGUUGUGCUUCUCAAGUUUCCAUCUCAGCCACCGUCACGGUCCGUCGUGACCGCCGCACUGCCCAUCGUAUUCCGUUGUGGCCACCAUUGUUGUCGAAACUUUCCGUCGUGCCAUCGGUUCAGUCGCUUUAGUUUUGUGCUCACGAUCAGCCGCUAUACAGUCAUCAUCGUGUCGCACUCCACCGUUAGUCUUUGUUUCGUCGGGACUCCGUCGUCGCGCUACUCCAUCGCGACCAUCACCACAUCAUUCAGGCCACGUCCAUUGUUGUUGCUUGACUCGGUUCGUUCGAUCAUUCGAAGCUCUAGUCGUUGGUGUCCGGUUAGCUCCGUGUAGUGUUUAAGGUCCGCGUACUCGUUAAAGACAACUUGAUUUGCUUGCUAAUAAGUUUCUACACAAAUAAGAAUUUGAGAGCCAUUGAAAGUGAAUAAAGAAAAUAAGCAUAUCUGCUUCGGCGAGGAAGAGGCGACGCCCAGCUCCAGCGUGGGCAGAGGCAUCUGGCUAGGUGGAGACUGCAGAGCGACGUCCGGCGAGGUCAAUGGUGUCAUGCUGCUUCUGCAUGACUUACUGACUACGUCAACAAGUAAGUACAUGAGUAUAUAGAAUUUAAAUCUAGACUUUUUGAA